GGGGAAUUAGCUCAUUCGGAAGAGCGCUGCCCUUGCAAGGCAGAGGCGCGGGGAUCGUAGCCCCGAUUCUCCA
RNAcentral lists this transfer RNA (73 nucleotides) under Mycobacteroides chelonae. RNAcentral describes it as "tRNA-Ala". It matches the Rfam family "tRNA". From Rfam's summary of the family: Transfer RNA (tRNA) molecules are approximately 80 nucleotides in length. Their secondary structure includes four short double-helical elements and three loops (D, anti-codon, and T loops). Lineage: Bacteria; Bacillati; Actinomycetota; Actinomycetes; Mycobacteriales; Mycobacteriaceae. The record is from RNAcentral.